GACGAACGCUGGCGGCGUGCUUAACACAUGCAAGUCGAACGGAAAGGCCCCCACCUUGGUGGGGGUGCUCGAGUGGCGAACGGGUGAGUAACACGUGGGUGAUCUGCCCUGUACUUCGGGAUAAGCUUGGGAAACUGGGUCUAAUACCGGAUAGGACCAUGGUUUAGUGUCUCAUGGUGGAAAAAUUAUUGUUUUGGUGCAGGAUGAGCUCGCGGCCUAUCAGCUUGUUGGUGGGGUAAUGGCCUACCAAGGCGUCGACGGGUAGCCGGCCUGAGAGGGUGGACGGACACAUUGGGACUGAGAUACGGCCCAGACUCCGACGGGAGGCAGCAGUGGGGAAGAUUGCACAAUGGGCGCAAGCCUGAUGCAGCGACGCCGCGUGGGGGAUGACGGCCUUCGGGUUGUAAACUCCUUUCGUUAGGGACGAAGCCACACCUUUUUUGGGUGUGGUGACGGUACCUUUGUGAAGAAGCACCGGCUAACUACGUG
This 489-nucleotide ribosomal RNA is filed under the name uncultured bacterium. RNAcentral describes it as "partial 16S ribosomal RNA". It matches the Rfam family "Bacterial small subunit ribosomal RNA", at positions 28 to 507 of the family's 1533-position model. The record is from RNAcentral.